GACGAACGCUGGCGGCGUGCUUAACACAUGCAAGUCGAACGGAAAGGCCCUGCUUGCAGGGUGCUCGAGUGGCGAACGGGUGAGUAACACGUGGGUGAUCUGCCCCUUAUUUUGGGAUAAGCCUGGGAAACUGGGUCUAAUGCUGGAUAGGACCAUGCUGUAGGUGGUGUGGUGGAAAGAUUAGUUUCGGUAAGGGAUGAGCUCGCGGCCUAUCAGCUUGUUGGUGGGGUAAUGGCCUACCAAGGCGUCGACGGGUAGCCGGCCUGAGAGGGUGGACGGCGACAUUGGGACUGAGAUACGGCGCAGAAUCCUACGGGAGGCAGCAGUGGGGAAUAUUGCACAAUGGGCGCAAGCCGGAUGCAGCGACGCCGCGUGGGGGAUGACGGCCUUCGGGUUGUAAACUCCUUGCAGCCAUGACGAAGCACUUGUGGUGACGGUAGUGGUAGAAGAAGCACCGGCUAACUACGUG
RNAcentral lists this ribosomal RNA (469 nucleotides) under uncultured bacterium. RNAcentral describes it as "partial 16S ribosomal RNA". It matches the Rfam family "Bacterial small subunit ribosomal RNA", at positions 28 to 507 of the family's 1533-position model. The record is from RNAcentral.